AAUAAGCUUUAUUCCAUGAGUGCUGCAUUGGGGCCCACUUGUGUAUGGCAUCCAACCUAUCUAUCAAGGCAGCUUCACCAUAGAAGUUGUUACUAUCCAUCAAAGUUGUUGCUAUCUAUCAAGGUUACUAUCCAUUAAGGUUGCCACACCAUAAAAGUUAUUACAAGUUUUUGUAGAAUAAGCUUUAUUCCAUGAGUGCUACAUUGGGGCCCACUUGUGUGUAUAUGACUUUAUUCGUUGAAUGCUGUGUUGGGGCUCACUUGUGAUUUUUUAUUUAUUUUUUGUUUUUUUGUUUUUUUAAAUAGUUGGAUGUGAAAUAAAUGUAUUGCAUAAUAGAUCAUAAUGAUAAUGAUAGGAAAUUGAAAAGCGUGAUAGGAAAUUGAAAAGCCAAACAGGCCGUUCUUUAAAUAGUUUCAGCCGUUAGGGGCUGAUUUCAUAAAGUAAGUUCUUUGAAUGUUCCCAUGGUGAUCAAAGUGUAAACUAUAUGCAGAAUUGACAGAGUGUGUACACAUGAAUGGUCUUGAGAACUAUUCCUGUACAAGUCUUGGUAGAAUGAUCAAAGUGUAAACCAUUCCAACCCUUCACCAUCUGCAAUUGAAUAUGAAGGUUACAAUUCUGCUAUGUGCUAUAGUAUUAAAGAUUUAGUUAAAGAUUCAUACAUGUAGUAGCCAGAUCUAUUGGUGAUUUCAGAUUUACCUCUGUUGACUGUUUCAUAUCUACAUCUUCUCUUUGUAGGUUGAUUUUUUAUUGAUCGAUCUGGUAAAAUGGCUUAUUCAUUUGGUAGCCUCUUUAUCAUGUCUUAAUGUUCUCUUUCUUUCUUUAUUAUUAUUAUUAUUGUCUUAACUCUCCCUUAGCAUUAGAAAAAAAUGCAGGGGAGUUGUUUGUUAAAAUGCCAAAGACAUGUGAUUUUGCAGAAAAUUGUGCUUGAUCUAUGUAGUCAUUAACCAUUUACUGGGUAAAAUGGUUUGAGUAUGAAGAGAUCAUGAUGAGACUACUGAGCCCAAUGCAAAUGUACGCGUUGCUGGAAAUUGGAUGUGCUUUGUCAUGCAUGCCCAAUACAUUUUGUUAUUGCACUUGUAGGCAUCCUCAAAUCCUCCCAAUUGGAAAUAACUAUGCAGAGUUUCGGUGAUAGACAUGGACAUCGGGUGUAGGAUGUGAAAAAGGUAUGUAGCUGUUUUUUUUUUUUCAUUCUUUUUACAAUUAUUUGUCACAUGCAAUUUGCACAACAUUUUUUGCUGAAAUACAUUCACCUAAUCUUUACUGCUCAUUGAUCAUCACAAAUCCUGCACAUGUUUUGUAUGUCCGCACAUGUAAGGAAUCACCAUUCUUGUAUAGACCCAUUGAUUUGACAUGAGGAAUGCAUCCCUUUCCAAAAAAAAAAUAAUGUAAAAAGGUCUGAAUGCAUCAAUACAUGCCUGCAUUUUUUGUAUGGUUACUACAAAUGAAGCAUCAGGAACUGAACAAAGAGAACUAGUGAGGGAUGUUAGAGGUAUGAUCAACUUAUCCAUUAGUCAAGAUCGAACAAUGUUUCUUCUGAACUAAUUGAUUUGAAAAUUUCAGCCUGUAAUAUCUAUUUUAUGAUCAAUGGUCCUAACUAUCCUAAAAAGGGCAGUUUUGUUGUAGUGAUGGUGGAAUCAAUUUUGUAUAGCCAACCCCAUUAGUAGAGAUAAAUAUUUGGUUGUCCUGUAAAAUUUAUUUCUAUAUUUGAAGUUUUGGAGUUGUUCAGCUAGUGAUAGAAAGACGGACAUUCCAGAAUGUACUAGAAGGUUGUGCUAUAAAUUGUAGAUCCAUAUGCAUGAUGUUAUGAUGAUUUUUUUUGAAAUAUAGCUGCAGUUUAUUGCCUGUUUCUGCGAUGGGGAAUUUCUGGGUGAGAUGCCCUUCCUCUAGUUGUGUGAUUACACUUGAUAACCUUAUAUGGUGAUCCUCUAGUUUUAGUUGUUGAAUAGUCACUCUUUUGCGUGUUUAGUUUUUGAAUCUUUAUGUUGUUUUUUGGCUAAUCAAAUUGCUUUACUGUCUUUGUUUUGAUUUUAAUAGUUACAAUGCAAGCCUAAAAAGAAGCUCUGCCUGGAUAUGCAAUGCAAAGGCAAGUUCUUUUUUCAAAGUGUCAUUGCAAGUCAUGGUGCAACCACAAAGGACAACCCCAAAAAUGGUGGGACCUUGUGUUUUCUCUAGGAGUGGAGCACUUCAUGGAGGAUUUUUUAUUUAUUUUUAAUGUAUUCGGGCAAUUGUAAACUUAUUGUUGUAAAUAUAUAUAAUUUUUAUUAUAAAGUUGUACCAUAUUUGUUCAAUAUUAAUUUUAAAUUGUAUAUAAUAUUCAUUGGUUUUUAAAUAUAAAAACAAAUGUACAGCUUUUAUUGGCCA
Magnolia sinica is the source of this 2361-nucleotide long non-coding RNA. RefSeq lists it as uncharacterized. The transcript has 2 exons. The record is from RefSeq and is a predicted model, not a curated record. NCBI's taxonomy places the organism in Eukaryota, Viridiplantae, Streptophyta, Magnoliopsida, Magnoliales, Magnoliaceae.